RNAcentral lists this RNase MRP RNA (356 nucleotides) under Lachancea mirantina. Its description in RNAcentral is "RNase MRP". It matches the Rfam family "RNase MRP". From Rfam's summary of the family: RNase MRP is an enzymatically active ribonucleoprotein with two distinct roles in eukaryotes. The record is from Rfam by way of RNAcentral. Lineage: Eukaryota; Fungi; Ascomycota; Saccharomycetes; Saccharomycetales; Saccharomycetaceae.
GACCAUAGCCAAAGAAUCGUCAGUGUUCGAAGCUUGCAUAAUGGGCGCAUUGAUUUGCCCUCCAAAGCUUUGGGUAGAAAGUCUCCGACCACUUCUUUUGCGGAAAACGUAAUGAGAUUUAAAAAUUUUUUACAAGAUGUUUAAAUCAACUCAUUAAAGAUGUGUCUCCUUUGGCGUUCUGUCAGUUCUUCGGAGUUGGCAGAUGCUUUUUUGCGCAUUUUUUGUGUCCCGUGGCGUUUAAAAGUCGCGGUGUCUUCGGUACUGGAAUCCUUUCUUAUGGGUUCCAAACGAUAGUUAUGACGAUUGCACUCUAAAAGGGUGUAACUCAAUGGAGCUUACUGUUCUUGGCUCAUGGU